Engraulis encrasicolus (European anchovy) is the source of this 433-nucleotide long non-coding RNA. RefSeq lists it as uncharacterized. The record is from RefSeq and is a predicted model, not a curated record. The transcript has 3 exons. Lineage: Eukaryota; Metazoa; Chordata; Actinopteri; Clupeiformes; Engraulidae.
AAACUCCACCCUCACCACUACGUUGGAGUCUUCCCAUUCAGUCAUCAUCCAAUUUGCUCCAAACACAAGCAGACACUUCUUACAGAUGGCUGUCCUCUAGAAUGAAAAUGCACACCAACCACCGGCAAACAUCAAAAGCUAAUCCAACCUUUGGUCUUCGGAAACCCCGUGACUAAUGCAAUGUUGGUGCCCUAGAAGACAAGUCAGCGCAGUUCAGACGAGCCAGCCAGAGGAGGUCACCGCCAGCCUUGUAUCGAGGUCCCAACGUCCUUCAUCGGGGAACUCGGCAUGGAUAUGCAAGACAACACUCGAAUCACUGUUGGACAAAUGCCUGAAACGGCUGGAAAAAUAGAAAAGAUGGUUACAGAGACUGUUAUUGCUGUUCUUCUUUCAAUACAAUAUUUGCCUUCCAUAAAAUAUUCCCAUGUUCCAA